This 44-nucleotide non-coding RNA is filed under the name Schistosoma mansoni. Lineage: Eukaryota; Metazoa; Platyhelminthes; Trematoda; Strigeidida; Schistosomatidae. The record is from RNAcentral.
AUCCAGCUGACAGGUCCUGAAUAGGACGAACGCGCGUUCUGGAU